RNAcentral lists this ribosomal RNA (253 nucleotides) under uncultured bacterium. Its description in RNAcentral is "partial 16S ribosomal RNA". It matches the Rfam family "Bacterial small subunit ribosomal RNA", at positions 524 to 776 of the family's 1533-position model. The record is from RNAcentral.
UACGUAGGUUGCGAGCGUUGUCCGGAUUUACUGGGCGUAAAGCGCGCGCAGGCGGUCGUUCAAGUCGCGUGUGAAAGCCCCCGGCUCAACUGGGGAGAGUCACGCGAUACUGAUCGACUCGAAGGCAGGAGAGGGUAGUGGAAUUCCCGGUGUAGUGGUGAAAUGCGUAGAUAUCGGGAGGAACACCAGUGGCGAAGGCGACUACCUGGCCUGUUAUUGACGCUGAGGCGCGAAAGCUAGGGGAGCAAACGGG